Molecule: ribosomal RNA, 248 nt
Filed under: uncultured Lachnospiraceae bacterium
Lineage: Bacteria; Bacillati; Bacillota; Clostridia; Lachnospirales; Lachnospiraceae
Description: partial 16S ribosomal RNA
Rfam family: Bacterial small subunit ribosomal RNA
Source: RNAcentral
UACGUAGGAGGCAAGCGUUAUCCGGAAUGACUGGGCGUAAAGGGUGCGUAGGUGGCAUGGCAAGUCAGAAGUGAAAGGCCGGGGCUCAACUCCGGGACUGCUUUUGAAACUGUUGAACUAGAUUGCAGGAGAGGUAAGUGGAAUUCCUAGUGUAGCGGUGAAAUGCGUAGAUAUUAGGAGGAACACCAGUGGCGAAGGCGGCUUACUGGACUGUAAAUGACGCUGAGGCUCGAAGGCGCGGGUAUCGA